This is a long non-coding RNA of Suricata suricatta (meerkat), 712 nucleotides long. RefSeq lists it as uncharacterized. Lineage: Eukaryota; Metazoa; Chordata; Mammalia; Carnivora; Herpestidae. The record is from RefSeq and is a predicted model, not a curated record. The transcript has 3 exons.
AGCUCCUGGCUCUCAGUUGGUGGAGCAUGUAACUCUGGAUCUCGGAGUCACAAGCUGAAAGCUGGACUUCAUGAUACAACAACACAGACUGAUGUUGACAGUCUGUAUGCCUGGGAUAACCAUGCCUUUUCUUCUGUGAGGCCUUUACUAAGGAAAUUUAAGAUCCUACUGCCGCCCGAGAAACCGAGAGACAAUGCCAUGCUGCCUGUCUUUACCCCGAGACCCCUCCCCCUCCUUAAAUGUAUAUUAAUAACUUCUCCGGUUUCUGGAAAAGAGGAAAGAACUAUGGCUUUAACCUAAAGCUAUCCUGACUGCGGACACACUGCCAGACGGACUGGCCAACAUUCUCUGGGACUGACUAGCCCCAGAGAGCUCCUUUAAUCUUAACCUUGCUUCUUCUGGCUUCCCCUCCCACUUUGUUUCUGCACCUACUUGGGUGUGAUAUGCCUCAGUGUCUCCUCCCAGCCUCAGGGGCUAAGAGCAAAAGGCACUCCCAGGGACAUCUAGGUCUUGGGAGCCGGGAAGACACUCUUAUCUUUCCUUCCACCUUGGAAAUGGCGUCACCUGUCUAAACCUCCGGAGGUAAACUAGUUUAUCAUCUAAAUUUUGAAUGCACACGUGCUUUUGCCUGGGGUAUUAAAUGGAGGUCUGGACACAUGACUUCCCACCCCAGGGCCACACCGAGAUGUCAGUCGGGCCCUUUAGUAAACCU